RNAcentral lists this ribosomal RNA (690 nucleotides) under uncultured bacterium. Its description in RNAcentral is "bacterial SSU rRNA". It matches the Rfam family "Bacterial small subunit ribosomal RNA", at positions 67 to 746 of the family's 1533-position model. The record is from RNAcentral.
CGGCAGCAUGAUCUAGCUUGCUAGAUUGAUGGCGAGUGGCGAACGGGUGAGUAAUACAUCGGAACGUGCCCUGUAGUGGGGGAUAACUAGUCGAAAGAUUAGCUAAUACCGCAUACGACCUGAGGGUGAAAGUGGGGGACCGCAAGGCCUCAUGCUAUAGGAGCGGCCGAUGUCUGAUUAGCUAGUUGGUGAGGUAAAGGCUCACCAAGGCGACGAUCAGUAGCUGGUCUGAGAGGACGAUCAGCCACACUGGGACUGAGACACGGCCCAGACUCCUACGGGAGGCAGCAGUGGGGAAUUUUGGACAAUGGGCGAAAGCCUGAUCCAGCAAUGCCGCGUGUGUGAAGAAGGCCUUCGGGUUGUAAAGCACUUUUGUCCGGAAAGAAAUGGCUCUGGUUAAUACCUGGGGUCGAUGACGGUACCGGAAGAAUAAGGACCGGCUAACUACGUGCCAGCAGCCGCGGUAAUACGUAGGGUCCAAGCGUUAAUCGGAAUUACUGGGCGUAAAGCGUGCGCAGGCGGUUGUGCAAGACCGAUGUGAAAUCCCCGAGCUUAACUUGGGAAUUGCAUUGGUGACUGCACGGCUAGAGUGUGUCAGAGGGGGGUAGAAUUCCACGUGUAGCAGUGAAAUGCGUAGAGAUGUGGAGGAAUACCGAUGGCGAAGGCAGCCCCCUGGGAUAACACUGACGC